This 371-nucleotide ribosomal RNA is filed under the name uncultured bacterium. RNAcentral describes it as "bacterial SSU rRNA". It matches the Rfam family "Bacterial small subunit ribosomal RNA", at positions 30 to 404 of the family's 1533-position model. The record is from RNAcentral.
AUUGAACGCUGGCGGCAUGCUUUACACAUGCAAGUCGAACGGUAACAGGCCUUCGGGUGCUGACGAGUGGCGAACGGGUGAGUAAUGCAUCGGAACGUGCCCAAUCGUGGGGGAUAACGUAGCGAAAGUUACGCUAAUACCGCAUAAGCCCUGAGGGGGAAAGCAGGGGAUCGCAAGACCUUGCGCGAAUGGAGCGGCCGAUGUCAGAUUAGCUAGUUGGUGGGGUAAAGCCUACCAAGGCGACGAUCUGUAGCGGGUCUGAGAGGAUGAUCCGCCACACUGGGACUGAGACACGGCCCAGACUCCUACGGGAGGCAGCAGUGGGGAAUUUUGGACAAUGGGCGCAAGCCUGAUCCAGCCAUGCCGCGUGC